GUCCACGCCCUAACGAUGUCAACUAGGUGUUGGGUGGGUAAACCAUUUAGUACCGGAGCUAACGCGUGAAGUUGACCGCCUGGGAGUACGGCCGCAAGGUUAAACUCAAAGGAAUUGACGGGACCCGCACAAGCGGUGGAUGAUGUGGAUUAAUUCGAUGCAACGCGAAACCUUACCUACCCUUGACAUGUCCCAGGAUCCUGAAGAGAUUUGGGAGUGCCCGAAAGGGAACUGGAACACAGGUGCUGCAUGGCUGUCGU
RNAcentral lists this ribosomal RNA (260 nucleotides) under uncultured bacterium. Its description in RNAcentral is "partial 16S ribosomal RNA". It matches the Rfam family "Bacterial small subunit ribosomal RNA", at positions 793 to 1055 of the family's 1533-position model. The record is from RNAcentral.